This is a long non-coding RNA of Lagopus leucura (white-tailed ptarmigan), 165 nucleotides long. RefSeq lists it as uncharacterized. NCBI's taxonomy places the organism in Eukaryota, Metazoa, Chordata, Aves, Galliformes, Phasianidae. The transcript has 4 exons. The record is from RefSeq and is a predicted model, not a curated record.
GCUGCAGGCGAUGUCAAGGACAAAACCUGUGCAUCUGUGGAACGGUGCGGGGCAAGGGGGGAAACGGAAAGCCUCCGCAGAAGCUGAUGCCAGUGGCCUUCCCCUGAAGCGCAGCCAUGUGGAAAGCCAGGAGUGUGGCACAGCACCCAAGAGAGCAGUGGCGAG